This is a long non-coding RNA of Bactrocera oleae (olive fruit fly), 459 nucleotides long. RefSeq lists it as uncharacterized. Lineage: Eukaryota; Metazoa; Arthropoda; Insecta; Diptera; Tephritidae. The record is from RefSeq and is a predicted model, not a curated record.
AUUUUUAUGAGUUUAUAGAUCCAUUGAUAUUUUCUGUUUUAAUUUUAUUUCAUUAAAUUCAUUUGUGAGUAUGUGCCACUUUUUCUGUGUUUCUAGAAAGUUUUUGUGCUCACACCACCGAAAAUCACACACUCAUAUUGUCCACUUCGCUGCUUUAAUUUCUUUUCGUGUGUGGCAAAUUGUGCAUAUGUAAUGUGUGCAUAGUGGUGUGUCGAGAUUUCGCGAAUGUAAUGGAGCUGACUGGCGUAGCAAAAAAUGGGUGAAGAAUGAAAACCAAAACAAUGCCCAAAUGAAUGGAGAAUGAAUGCAUAACAUUGGUUACCACGAAAUGAAAUAUUUAAACGAUCACACAAAGGAAUUGUUGAUCACUACGUCCAUCAGAUAUUCUUUAUACGUGCUUAUAUUUGUGUCUAUAUUAUAUAUGUAUAAAUAAAAUAAUGAAUUUGUUUGUUUAUUCUU